CACGUAGGGCGCAAGCGUUGUCCGGAAUUAUUGGGCGUAAAGAGCUCGUAGGCGGUCUGUUGCGUCUGCUGUGAAAACUCGGGGCUUAACCCCGAGCCUGCAGUGGAUACGGGCAGACUAGAGGUAGGUAGGGGAGACUGGAAUUCCUGGUGUAGCGGUGGAAUGCGCAGAUAUCAGGAGGAACACCGGUGGCGAAGGCGGCCCACUGGAUCGGUACUGACGCUGAGGUGCGAAAGCGUGGGGAGCAAACAGG
This 253-nucleotide ribosomal RNA is filed under the name uncultured bacterium. RNAcentral's name for it is "partial 16S ribosomal RNA". It matches the Rfam family "Bacterial small subunit ribosomal RNA", at positions 524 to 776 of the family's 1533-position model. The record is from RNAcentral.